RNAcentral lists this long non-coding RNA (267 nucleotides) under Capsicum annuum. RNAcentral describes it as "long non-coding RNA (CANN_LNC013420)". The record is from RNAcentral. Lineage: Eukaryota; Viridiplantae; Streptophyta; Magnoliopsida; Solanales; Solanaceae.
UAAUAUUGGCCUCACUAUCUAUUCUUUACUUUUCUUGUUGUUAUCUUGUGUAGUGGACUGUUUUUGGGUCCUUUUUGAAUCCAAAAAUUUAUGUUCUUGUUGUCAUCUUGUUCUUCACGUUUUGUGGCUGUUUUGGGUGUCAAAUACACCAUUGUUAUCUCGUAUUGUUGUUGUUGUAGUGAAUCCGAGAGUGGUAUCCAAAAAGAUCCUCGGAUCCUUAAGAUUUGCAGACUGUUUUGGAGUUGUUUCGUGUUUCCCUUGUCUUUC